UAAAUGCUACGAAAAUGUCAGCCAUUAUC
RNAcentral lists this non-coding RNA (29 nucleotides) under Rattus norvegicus (Norway rat). The record is from RNAcentral. Lineage: Eukaryota; Metazoa; Chordata; Mammalia; Rodentia; Muridae.